Molecule: non-coding RNA, 28 nt
Filed under: Mus musculus (house mouse)
Lineage: Eukaryota; Metazoa; Chordata; Mammalia; Rodentia; Muridae
Source: RNAcentral
UACUGCAAAGAGGCCUGGAUGUCACUGU